GUAAUAUAUCGGAACGUGUCCAGUCGUGGGGGAUAACGUAGCGAAAGUUACGCUAAUACCGCAUACGAUCUCAGGAUGAAAGCGGGGGACCGUAAGGCCUCGCGCGAUUGGAGCGGCCGAUAUCAGAUUAGGUAGUUGGUGGGGUAAAGGCUCACCAAGCCAACGAUCUGUAGCUGGUCUGAGAGGACGACCAGCCACACUGGAACUGAGACACGGUCCAGACUCCUACGGGAGGCAGCAGUGGGGAAUUUUGGACAAUGGACGCAAGUCUGAUCCAGCCAUUCCGCGUGCAGGAUGAAGGCCCUCGGGUUGUAAACUGCUUUUGUACGGAACGAAAAGGUCUCUAUUAAUACUGGGGGCUCAUGACGGUACCGUAAGAAUAAGCACCGGCUAACUACGUGCCAGCAGCCGCGGUAAUACGUAGGGUGCAAGCGUUAAUCGGAAUUACUGGGCGUAAAGCGUGCGCAGGCGGUUAUGUAAGACAGAGGUGAAAUCCCCGGGCUCAACCUGGGAACUGCCUUUGUGACUGCAUAGCUAGAGUACGGUAGAGGGGGAUGGAAUUCCGCGUGUAGCAGUGAAAUGCGUAGAUAUGCGGAGGAACACCGAUGGCGAAGGCAAUCCCCUGGACCUGUACUGACGCUCAUGCA
This 647-nucleotide ribosomal RNA is filed under the name uncultured bacterium. Its description in RNAcentral is "bacterial SSU rRNA". It matches the Rfam family "Bacterial small subunit ribosomal RNA", at positions 110 to 753 of the family's 1533-position model. The record is from RNAcentral.